GACGAACGCUGGCGGCGUGCUUAACACAUGCAAGUCGAACGGUGAAGCUCCAGCUUGCUGGAGUGGAUCAGUGGCGAACGGGUGAGUAACACGUGAGCAACCUGCCCCUGACUCUGGAAUAAGCGCUGGAAACGGCGUCUAAUACUGGAUACGAGAAGGGUCCGCAUGGGCACUUUCUGGAAAGUUUUUCGGUUGGGGAUGGGCUCGCGGCCUAUCAGCUUGUUGGUGAGGUAGUGGCUAACCAAGGCGACGACGGGUAGCCGGCCUGAGAGGGCGACCGGCAACAGUGGGACGGAGACAGGCCCCAGCCUCCUACGGGGGGAAGGAGUGGGGAAUAUUGCACAGUGGGCGAAAGCCUGAGGCAGCGACCCCGGGUGAGGGAUGACGGCCUUCGGGUUUUAAACCUUUUUCGCCUGGGAAGAAGCGAAAGUGACGGUCCCGGGAAAAGAAGCCCCGGCUAACUCCGGC
RNAcentral lists this ribosomal RNA (468 nucleotides) under uncultured bacterium. RNAcentral describes it as "partial 16S ribosomal RNA". It matches the Rfam family "Bacterial small subunit ribosomal RNA", at positions 28 to 508 of the family's 1533-position model. The record is from RNAcentral.